GACGAACGCUGGCGGCGUGCCUAAUACAUGCAAGUCGAACGCUGAAGGAGGAGCUUGCUUCUCUGGAUGAGUUGCGAACGGGUGAGUAACGCGUAGGUAACCUGCCUGGUAGCGGGGAAUAACUAUUGGAAACGAUAGCUAAUACCGCAUAAGAGUAGAUGUCGCAUGACAUUUGCUUAAAGGGUGCAAUUGCAUCACUACCAGAUGGACCUGCGUUGUAUUAGCUAGUUGGUGAGGUAACGGCUCACCAAGGCAACGAUACAUAGCCGACCUGAGAGGGUGAUCGGCCACACUGGGACUGAGACACGGCCCAGACUCCUACGGGAGGCAGCAGUAGGGAAUCUUCGGCAAUGGACGGAAGUCUGACCGAGCAACGCCGCGUGAGUGAAGAAGGUUUUCGGAUCGUAAAGCUCUGUUGUAAGAGAAGAACGAGUGUGAGAGUGGAAAGUUCACACUGUGACGGUAUCUUACCAGAAAGGGACGGCUAACUACGUG
Molecule: ribosomal RNA, 495 nt
Filed under: uncultured bacterium
Lineage: Bacteria
Description: partial 16S ribosomal RNA
Rfam family: Bacterial small subunit ribosomal RNA
Source: RNAcentral